UCGGUGAAACGUUUUAACAGCUGCGGUAUUUUAACUGUACUAAGGUAGCAUAAUAAUUUGCCUUAUAAUUUGAGGCUAGAAUGAAUGGUUUGACGAAGGUUAAUCUGUCUCUGCUUUAUUUUUUAGAAAUUAAUUUUCAUAGUGAGAAAGCUUGAAUUUCUUAAGGGGACGAGAAGACCCUACUGAGCUUAUAAUUUUAUUAUCACAUAUAUUUAUGUAUAAUGUGCUAUAUAAAUUUUAAUUGGGGUGAUUAAGGAAUAAUAUAGCUAUUUUAUAACUUCCUUAGAUAUUAUAUUGUUGAAUUAAGUAACCGAUUAAUUAAUAGAAUUGUAUUAUGUAUUGCUUAUAAUAUAGUUACCAUAGGGAUAACAGCGUAAUUUACUUAGAGAGUUCUUAUUGAAAAGUAAGAUUGCGACCUCGAUGUUGGAUUAAAGUGACCUUAAGGUGCAGAAGCUUUAUGAGGUAAAUCUGUUCGAUUUU
RNAcentral lists this ribosomal RNA (480 nucleotides) under Uroteuthis chinensis. RNAcentral describes it as "partial 16S ribosomal RNA". It matches the Rfam family "Bacterial large subunit ribosomal RNA", at positions 1863 to 2588 of the family's 2925-position model. Lineage: Eukaryota; Metazoa; Mollusca; Cephalopoda; Myopsida; Loliginidae. The record is from RNAcentral.